Molecule: ribosomal RNA, 442 nt
Filed under: uncultured bacterium
Lineage: Bacteria
Description: partial 16S ribosomal RNA
Rfam family: Bacterial small subunit ribosomal RNA
Source: RNAcentral
CCUACGGGAGGCAGCAGUGGGGAAUAUUGGGCAAUGGGCGCAAGCCUGACCCAGCAACGCCGCGUGAAGGAAGAAGGCUUUCGGGUUGUAAACUUCUUUUGACAGGGAAGAGCAGAAGACGGUACCUGUCGAAUAAGCCACGGCUAACUACGUGCCAGCAGCCGCGGUAAUACGUAGGUGGCAAGCGUUGUCCGGAUUUACUGGGUGUAAAGGGCGUGUAGGCGGGCGAACAAGUCAGAUGGGAAAUCCGGGGGCUCAACCCCGGAAUUGCAUUUGAAACUGUUGGGCUUGAGUAUCGGAGAGGGGGGCAGAAUUCCUGGUGUAGCGGUGAAAUGCGUAGAGAUUGGGAGGAACACCAGUGGCGAAGGCGGCCUGCUGGACAAAGACUGACGGUGAGGCGCGAAAGCGUGGGGAGCAAACAGGAUUAGAUACCCCUGUAGUC